UGAGACCAUCCUGGCUAGCACGGUGAAA
This 28-nucleotide non-coding RNA is filed under the name Homo sapiens (human). Lineage: Eukaryota; Metazoa; Chordata; Mammalia; Primates; Hominidae. The record is from RNAcentral.